GCUUAUUGGUAUAAUAUUGUUAAAGUUGGUAUAAAUUGUUAAAGUUUUCCCUUUUUACAUUUAAUUUUCACUUAGUCGAAAUUAAUGUUGGUGCGUGACGUAAGGCAGUGGUGUGCUGGGCCAGGCUUAACAACUGUCGCUGUGGGAGAGGAAGCCUUGAUUUGUAACAUUUGCUAAUUUCUGUGGUGUAAAUACACACAUGUGGUGAAUUUCAAGCUCCCACUGAAUGCAGAGAAGGGAAGGAUGUAGACAGUUGGCUUGGGCUCCAGCACCCCACAGGAUAAGCUGAAGAACGGCAAUGGUUUCUGGUCUAUCUACUCGGCUCCGCCCACCAGCUAAUCCUGAGGCAGCUUCCCAAGGACCAGGCUUGAUGGAGGCAGGAGGCAGGAAGCAGCUGCUGGAACAAUUCUAGAUGGGCGUUCGGGCGACUCGGUUUCACUGCACACGGCCGAUCUCUGUGGCUCCUUGUUUGAGCGCUUUUUAUAUAAGAAAAGACAAACAUGCUGGAGAACCGGCACCCCACCCACACCACUGGGGCCUCUGAUACCAUGGCAACCACAACCUCCAGGUCAAACCCAGGCGUCCCGCGGGUUUGGACAGUGUUCUCAGAAGGGGCCUCUGCCCGCUCGCAGCCCGCUCCUGCCUCGCUGUGCCUCGCCGUCUUUUUGCAAUUUCUCCUGAGCCGGGGAGUUUCCCUGACCUGAAUCUAGCCUGUUGCCGUCACAUCACCACCCAGGUCUCAGGGAUCCAGCGGGAUCAGCGCGAGGACCAGAGGAAAGCGCUCUCAGGAGGGCUGUUCAGCGCCAGGAUUGAAGGACGGUGUCACCGUGAGUGGGACCUGUGCUUCUCAGGGCAGCGCCAGGAGCAUGCGCGAUGGCGAUCAGGGCUCAGCUCCCUCUGCAGAAAGGUAAAACAGGCCAGUGGAGUGCUCGUAGCACCUGUGUGCCGCUGCUGGUACGCCUGGUGAUCCCCCGGCUACUUGCUACCCAUGAGGAGGAAGGCCACCCCAUCACAGAGGAAUCACUCCCAUCCUUGAAUGAGCGGUCCAGGAGAACAAUGGUGGCGUGACCGGAUAGACAUCCAGUCUUGGUUCAGGAUAGCAGAGACCGGAGAUGCCUCCUGCAUUCAUGUAAGCCACAAAAACGGGUAUGUCUUAGGGAGACUGGCUUUGUGAAGAGGCAAAAUAGAUCUUUGGCCACCUGGAACAGCAUCAGGAGGGUGGGAAAGGAACAGCUUCUCCUCCAAAACAACACCUAUUGAGUCCUAAAAUUUCACCAUUAGUGACUCAUUCCUUUGCUUUUGUUCUCUGUUCUCUUUUAAAAUAAAAGUUUUUUUUUUUUUUUUUUUGGGAAAAGUAACAUGGUAAAUGUCUAUACCUUGGAAUAAAUUGAGAAAUUUGCUGGGAACUGGGCCCUGGAAGUAACGAGGGCCUUGUGGGAGAGGGAGCAGGUCUGAUGGGAAGAAUGGGAGCCGCCAAGAGGAAAGGCAGAAGGGAAAAAUGGGAGGAGGCCAGGAGCAGGGCCACUGGAGAGAGAGCAGCAGAGCUAACCAUAUGUCUAUGGAAACGUUCCUGGGGAGCCGGAGUCUCCGGCAUGUAAGUCCCUUUUCAAGCAACACGCCGCCCUGCUCGGCCUUGUCCUGUUUGCCUUUAUCGUUUCAGAUAAAUUUACUUCCCUUUUGAGCCAUCUCAUGAAAGAUCCACCUCCCCAAGUGGGAGAGGAUUGGAAGUGCAGUUACAAAUUGCUGACACUGGGAACUCUGCUUCUUGUCCCCAUGAAUGAGGUCUGGGCACUUGUCAUUUUACGCUCAGGCCUGGCCUUGAAGAUUAUGCGCUCACUGUGACCUGGGGGACCGACCACAUGGCCGCCAAAAAGAGCAAAACAGAAUGGGGGGUUCCAUGUCUGUAGGGCAGGAUGACAAUGGGCUGGGGUUGGAAGCAGGCAACCCUGGGCUAGAAAUGAAUCAGAGAUGCCACACUCACUCCCCUGGCCCGAGGGGACACUGGGGCGUAGAAGUCAGAUUGUAGGGAUUGCCUUGAUGUCAAGUGGGAGAGAGCCGGGGUCCAUUUCCUACCUGAUCCAGGACAGAGAGCAGAGGCAGCCUCGGAACAACAACUUUGUUCAGUGUUUCCCGGAGGGAAUCCAAUCUGGUGGUCCGGGAAUCUUGCUCUGCGCUCAUUUGAGAUGAGAAGAGAGAUGCCCAGUGUUUAUUCUUCACGGCUAUGUCACGGGAAGUUUGUGCCAGACCAAGACAUGUUUAUGUUUAAGCAGUGUAACUGUUAAUGACAAUUAACUACAGGUGCUUCUGUGCAUUUUUCAGUUGAGUCCGUGUUUUCUAUGCUUAGCAUUUGUCAACGACUUUGUGGGCAAAAUUGUUACACAAAUCUCCAAAUAACAAACCUGUGAGGCUCCAAAUGUUUAUUUGCAUGUCAGCUGUUUGUAACUUAGGAGACAUUUUCUCAUGGAAAAUAUUAGCCCUGGUCAGGUUCUCAGGCUAGCUCACUCGGGUGAACUAAUAAAUCGGAAUAGGGUACCUUAUAUUUGUAGUUUAUCUUUAAAAUGUCUUCAUAUCAAACGCAGAAAUACAUAAAUACAGACAUAAAUGCAAGAACAAAAUGUUCAGUGCUACUAUGGUCUGAAUAGGGAUGUGUGGCUGGCCUGAGACCCCAGCUCCUGUUAAGCAUUAUUUUGAGAUUAGAGGGAGCAGCGAAUUCUGUCUCCACCCUGCUUUUGUCCCAGAGGGCUCACCGGACGCCCCCCCGACCCCAAAUCGGGGCAGACCGUGGUUUAGGUGUUCUGUUAUUUUCAAAUUUUUGUGUAACAUGCACAGUCAAUUUUCUUUUUUCAGAAGGAAACUGGUUCUAAGAAUGGUUAAGCAUCUUAGAGUAACAACCGCUAUUUUUGGUUGAUUUAAAUUCUAAACGCAGGAUCCUUACUUCUCCCAGGAAUUAGGGAUCCUGCCUAUUUUCUAGCCGCUCCCUGAUAAGAUGCGUUUUCUUCCAGUCUCUGCAGCUCAGUUGCUCUAACGGUGUCUGAGUCCCUGAGUUUGAAGUUUGUGAUUCAGACUCCAGACUGGCCUGAGUUUUCGGUCACAGUCUCCAGACGUGGGACUGGAGUUUUCCAUGCUCCCCACUUGCCCAGACUAAUCUUGAUUCAGAGAGUUAGUGGACAGGGUUGAAAGUCAAUAGCCAGCAUUUUAAAAUCCUAGUCCUCAGCAUCCUUUUCUGAAUCCCUACAUCGGGACCGCUUCCCAUGAAUCUAUGAUGGUUUUGUGUUCAAGUCCAAGCUUCGACAGCAAGUAAAGAUAAACCAACCACUGCCUAGAGAUUCAGCCAAAGAAAAGCAGCAACUGUAUUGGAAAUUUGCCAGAGGAAACUGUCCUCUAACUGCCGUCAGGAUGUGUAAACAGCAACUACCAUCCCAGAAACCAGCCUCGGGAUGGACCUUCAGAGGAAGAAUGUCAACAACCAGGCAUCAUCUUGUGGAGGACCCCUCCCCACUUCAUCACGACAGCGGCUGCCCCUCUGUCUCCUGAAUCAAGGCCCCUGAGCUUGCACAAUUCCUAUUAGAUGGAGGUAAACGCAGCUCUGAGAUGACUCAUCCCCUAGGCGUGAAGUCCAAAUGAUGAACCCCAGGAAUUUCUAGGUAGGGAGCUGAAAGCGGGAAAAUGGAAGCAGAGGAAAUGACACUUCACAUGUACAACUCUGGCAAGUUUCUAGGAAAAGCACCAAACCAGCUGUGAAUGCACUCAAGUCUGGUCUUAUGGAGGUGAGUUUGGGCCAAUCACAGAAUCCUGGGUUCAGGCUUCUUAAUCUGUACUAGGGGCAACGCUGGACACACUUACCCGGGCCAGGGAGGCACAAAACUGGGUGGGAAAGCUGCGUGGGGACUGGGGCGUCUAAAGGGCCAAUUGUUGACCCGUGCGGUGCAGCAUCUAUGUGCGUUCCAGCCAUGUAGCCCUCUGCACUACAUACAGUGCAAUCACCUGUGUAGCGAUUGUAUUAUUAAUUUCUGUGAUUCAUUUCUUAUUCAUCUGUUAUUAUUUCAUCUCAGACUUUUAUUGCUUAAUUUAUCUCAAAGUCUCUUUAAAAGUGUUCUGAUUUUCAUUUCAUCUGGAGUGAAUUCAUGCUCUGAAGGUUGACUGCGUUGGCAGUUUCUCUGUUAGUUUUCUUCACGGACGAGAGUUUUUGGUCACUGUCUCGUCUUGAGUGGGGCAUUCUCUCUUUUGCUCUUGGGCUGUCGAUUCUCCUCCCUGCUCACCUCUCUCUGUCUUGCAGGUUUUCAGUUGCUUCCACCCAGCCUCCCAGGGUCCCUGGUCCAGAACCAGCCCAUAUAAUGGUGGCUCAGGCUCUUCCCCUGGUGACGUUGGGGACAUCACAGAUCUGGUUACUGGGACUCAGGUGGCUUGUGUCGGGUUCUGGUCCAAGGCUGUGUCUGUAUUUCCUGUGUCCACCAGCCUGCAGCUGUGUAUAAACCACUGCCCAGCACGGUGCUCAGUGAGGGCUUAGCCUUCGGUCCCAGGGCUCCUGGUUCAAGUUCCAGGGCUGAUCCAUGAUGCUGCCUUAGAGAACGGAACCCUGCUACCCGGAGGAACCCAACUGAGGACACUUCUGCCAGCUUCUGAACCUCAAGAACUUUGAGCCUUUGUUCCAUCACUGUGCUACGGAGCCUUCGUUUUAAUCAAACUUUUUUUUUUUGAGGUAAUUGUAGGUUGACAUAGAGUUGUAAGAAAUAACACAGAGAGAUCUGUGUGCCCUUUACCCAGUUUCCCACAGUGGUAACGUCCUGCACAACUGCUUUUCAUAAGCCUACUUGCCAACUGUCUGUCCUCUUCCAUGAAAUGCCUCUUCAUUUCUUUCGUCCAUUUUAUAAUUGGGCUGUUUGUUCUGCUUAGCUUUUUUCUUCCUGUUGUUUUGACAAUUUUUUAUGUAUUCCAGACAUCAGUCCUUUGUCAGAAGGUGGUUUGCAAAUAUUUUCCCUUUUUCUGUAGCUUGUCUUAUCCUCUUAACAGGGCUUUUCACAGAGCAAAAGCUACUCAUUUUUAUGAAGUCCAGCUUAUCAAUUUUUUCUUUUAUAGAUUAUGCUUUUGCUGUCGAGUCUGAGAACACUUCAGGCCUGGAUCCUGAAGAUCUUCUCCCAUAUUUUUUCCCUAAAGUUUUACGGUUUCCAUCUAAGCCCACAAUCCAUUUUUGUGUCAAGCGUGGGAAUUAGGUUGAGGUUUAUUUUUCUCGGUUAUGAAUGUCCAGUUGCUCCAGCACCGUUUGUAGAGAAGGCCGUCCUUCCUCCGUUCAAUUCCCUCUGCGCCUUGGUCAAAAUCAGUUGGGCGCGUUUGUGCGGGUCUGCUUCCGGGUUCUCUAUUCCGUUCCGUGGAUCGGUGCAUCCAUCUCCAGCGGCUCCACACAGUGCUGGCCACUGCAGCCACGCUGCAAGUCUCGAAACCGGUUCGUGGGUUCUUUGCACUGGCCAGAACUUCCAGCACCGUGUUGAACAGAAGUGGUGAGAGAGCACACCUCUGCUUGCUCCUGAUCGCCAUGGGAGCAUCCGGUCCUUCAUCCGUCAGUGUAGUAGAGCCGACCAAGAGGUUCCUGGGAAAUAGCUCACUGUUUCAUCACUGAUAGUCACAUUGGACAACAGCUGAACCACACGACCCUGCGCUGGGAGUCACAGAGGGUGAAACAGAAAAAGGAGACCCCACUUUCUGCCCCAGGGAGCCUGGAGAAGGAGAACGGUACUGCAGUCAGCAAAACGGGAUUGUGGGCCGGGCCUGCAUUUCCCAUGCAAUUCUAUUUGUAAGUCACAGAAGUUGAUACUUUUAUUCCUGUUCAGGACUAACAGGGAAGAAGCAGUAGGGCCAAACUCUGGACAACACUCUUUAUAUGUGAGGACCGUGCUAGGUCACCUGCCGCAUGUCACAUAUGAGGACAGCGCUCAAUCACUUGCCGCAUGUUACCUGUGAGGAUUGUGCUCCAUCACCUGCUGAGUGUGUUACCUGUGAGGACUGUGCUCCAUCACCUGCUGCGUGUGUUACCUGUGAGGACUGUGCUCCAUCACCUGCUGCGUGUGUUACCUGUGAGGACUGUGCUCCAUCACCUGCUGCGUGUGUUACCUGUGAGGACUGUGCUCCAUCACCUGCUGCGUGUGUUACCUGUGAGGACUGUGUUCCAUCACCUGCUGCGUGUGUUACCUGUGAGGACUGUGCUCCAUCACCUGCUGCGUGUGUUACCUGUGAGGACUGUGCUCCAUCACCUGCUGCGUGUGUUACCUGUGAGGACUGUGCUCCAUCACCUGCUGCGUGUGUUACCUGUGAGGACUGUGUUCCAUCACCUGCUGUGUGUGUUACCUGUGAGGACUGUGCUCCAUCACCUGCUGCGUGUGUUACCUGUGAGGACUGUGCUCCAUCACCUGCUGCGUGUGUUACCUGUGAGGACUGUGUUCCAUCACCUGCCGCAUGUUACCCGUGAGGACUGCACUCAUUCACCUGCUGUGUGUUGCGUGUUUGGGGACUGCCAACAUACCAUCUUACUGUCUGUUUCCCUAGGUCCAGUGUUAACUCCACACCGAUGUUUAGAAUUCUCUUCUAGAAAGACAUUUAGUUGGCUAACAGGAGACAACCCUGGGGUAAAACAAAACAGGAAAAUGUAGGAGCUAAUGUCCCUCGUGUGAGGGACCCUGGGCAAGUCAUUGGGCAACACUGCUCUGAAUUGUAUAGAAACGUCAAGAAUCUUAAUGUCCCAGCGAGGCAUCAUGACGUCUGUGGAGCUGGGCACAGGGGGCGCAUUCAACAAAAAGGGGAGAAGAUGCACCAAAGGGAAACUUUACAUGUUUCACCCAGUGCUUGCCCUGGAAGGAGACGCUUGAGCUUAGGGUGUCACAAAUGAAAACCUUUUUAAAAGUCCACUAACCAGUGCAGAGGUGUCGGGAGAGUGUCUUUCCCAGGCAGGCUCUGUGUGGAAAUCCAAGGCACUGAAAAUAGUACAGAAUUCAGCAGGGGAGAGCCAGGCCCUGGGAAUAAGGGCAGAGAGAUCAGCGAGAGGCGAAAGUCAAGGAUGGCUUCCUGGAGAAGCAGGGGCUGUCCCGGGGCUUUGGUUAUGAGACCACUAAAGGGAAAUACCUUUAGAAUAGACUGAGGGAAAAAACCUGCAAAGGGACCACAGGAAUCCCCUAGUAUAUAAAAUACUUUCCCAGAGAAAAGAGUCAUUAAAAGUUUAAGAUUUGUUCCAUUCAAGAGCUUCAGUAUGCAUUUACUCUGAUGAGUAAAUUAAUGUUUUGGGGGGGGGGGGUUUAAGUAUUUGUUUACAAAUUCUU
This is a non-coding RNA of Equus caballus (horse), 7304 nucleotides long. The record is from RefSeq and is a predicted model, not a curated record. NCBI's taxonomy places the organism in Eukaryota, Metazoa, Chordata, Mammalia, Perissodactyla, Equidae.